Molecule: long non-coding RNA, 1015 nt
Filed under: Sarcophilus harrisii (Tasmanian devil)
Lineage: Eukaryota; Metazoa; Chordata; Mammalia; Dasyuromorphia; Dasyuridae
Description: lncRNA (ENSSHAG00000031449.1)
Source: RNAcentral
UGAAUUCCAAUAGAAGAUCCAGGCCUGUCCCAGGCCCACCCAGAUCUGAGCCAACUUGGGACUCCACCCACAGGCCCCUCUAACUAAAAUCUCUCAUUAUAAAUGAGUUAAGCUGGAAUCCUCUCUUUGCAGAGGUUCCAAACAUGCCAGCCUUACACCUGGCAUGCUAGGACCCUCUGUCCACUGGAAUACUGUUUGAUGCCCUUCUUAUCUCUUUAUCUUCACCUAUUUCCUUAACUACACUUUAACCUUACUUUCAAACCCCAUAAUAAACAUCUUUUAUUAAUCUAGCUUUUCGGGCCUAUAAAUUCUUUUAUAGGGAACUCUCACUUCUAGACUGCAUUUAACUCUGUAUACUUGCGCCGAAUCCAAAGGGGUUGCAGGGGAACUCUACUUGACUCCCUGUACCCCAAGCCUGCCACUAGACCUCAAUUAAACCCUAAUUUCAUUUAGGUACCCCAUAUCUAGACCUCAUCAAUGAGAUGGUGAGCUCUCUAAGGGCAGGCUCUUUUGCCUCUUUUCACCUUCAGGGCACUGUAUAGUAGCUAGCAUUUAGGAGGCACAGCAUCUAUUAACUGACCAGAGCUUUUGCACAUACUUGUUAUGAGCCAGAACUUGAAACAAGAUGAUAACUCAAUGGAAUUGAUAGAAACAAUGCUUAACACCUUUGAGAGUUCAUACAUUAGUUCACAUGUUUGGGAGAUUUCAGGGUUCAGUAUGAGAUAUCCAAAUUCACACUUCCCAUAAUCCCACUCUCAGAGGAGGAGUCAACCUUUGAGUUUACACCUCUAAAAGAGCAUAAAAAGAGCUUCAGUCAGUCAGUCAGUUUGGAAGAUUGCCAGGAGUCGGAGUUGAGUUAGAGGCAGAAGCUGGCAGAGGCAAAAGACAAGCUGCAAGAGCUCUUGGAACCAAGGAGGGAGAGAGUCCUCUAAGAAAGCUAACUGGGCCCAAGGAAAGAGACAAGAAUUGGAAGGAGAAAAUAAACGUUUGGAUUUUAUUAGCUGGCUGCAUUUGA